Molecule: long non-coding RNA, 1563 nt
Organism: Felis catus (domestic cat)
Lineage: Eukaryota; Metazoa; Chordata; Mammalia; Carnivora; Felidae
Exons: 3
Source: RefSeq, a predicted model, not a curated record
CAUACUAAUUCCAUGCCAUGGUCCUGGGUCAAGAUCUGCACAAUCUGAUUGGCCAUAUCACCUCGGAUGGCAAGGGAACGGAAGUGGUCAAAGUCAUGGAGGCCCAGCUUCCGGAGACGCCUUGCAGCUGCCCGGUAUCUCAGACCUCAGGGAGAAAGAAAGGAUUCCAAGGGCAUAGCCAGCAUUCCUUACCAGGAAGGUGAAGAAAGUGUGGCUGGAAACAACCCAGAUGUCCAACAACAGUAGCAUGGAUGAAGAAAUGUGGUAUAUUCAUUAAGAUGGAAUACUAAAUAGCAGUUAAAAAUGAAGGAAUUCAGCUCAGUGCAUCAACAUGGAUGACUCUUACAAAUAUACAAUGUUCAGCAAAAAAGCAGGACACACGCAAAAAAUACAUGGCAAGCUUCCAUUUAUAUGAAUUUCAAAAAUGGAUAAGAUUAAAUUACAUUGUUUAGGGAUACAAAAAUAGUGCGCUAUAAAGAAAAUCAAGGAAAUAAGCAUAAGUCAGGCUAGUUGUUCCCUCUGGGCGGAGGGGGGCGGUUUAGGAACAGAGAAAGUUAAGGGACUUUUGGGGUUCUGACAAUGUCUUAUUCUUGAUCUGGACAAUGGUCAUAAAGGUGUCUGCUUUAUAAUAGUUCAUAAAGUGUAAACUUAUGUCUUAUGCACUUUUCUGUAUGUGUGGCAUAGUUCACAAAAAAUUCUUUUAAAAAGUCAUGCUGUUGUUGUAGAUCAAGGACCAUAUUUAGAGUAGGAAGGUCCUAUACUACGCUGCUUAAUUUUCUCCCCAUUUCUAUACUUAUUUCUUUGCUGACUCCCUCUUCCUGUCUGAUCUUGGGUGUGCCAGUUUCACUAGUCAUUUGUCACUUCAUCCCUCCUCUACCACAUCUCUUCACCUUCUCCAACCUCAAUUCCCCAAUCCCAGAAUACCCUGGAAGCUUGAAAAAUAAAAUAUAGACUCAAGCGCUCAAUCACUCAAGAUCCUGAUUCAGUAGGGCUACAGUGGGGCCUGGGAGUUUUAAAAAUGUAAAUAAAGCACCCUAUAAAUUACGGUACAUGCAUACAAUUUUGAAGCUGCUAAAAAGAAUGUCGUGACAUGAGUGAUCUCCAAAUUAUUAGGUGAAAAGCAAGGUGCCAAAUAGUGUGCUAUUAUUUGUAAAGGUAAAAGAGGUGAUAUUUAUACAUACAUAAAUGCCUACAUACACACAGGAUACAUACCCAAGAAAUUAUAAACAGCGGUUGCCAAUGUGUAGGGGGGGAAGGAGAAUUUAGGGUCAGGAACAGAGACUUACUUUUUGUUACAUGCCUGUGAUUUGCAAUCAUAGGGUCAGAAUAUCUGCUCCUGUAGGAUAUGGUAGUAGUUACAGAUGGGUGUCAAGGGUGGCAUGUCGAUAUUUUGAAUGUAAUUUCACUAUAAUCACUCUACGCCUAAGAAUACUUUGAGGUAAGAAGACGUGGCAAUGCCUUCCUCCGCCAAGGAGCUGUAUCCUCCCUCUCAACCCUCUCCACUGUACUCAGUCAACUCACUGCUUUUAAAUAAAUAUCUACUUGGCUCCAGGAUGCAUCCUA